CCGCAACGGUCACUCACUCCGUUAUCAACCCAUCCCCCCGGCCAGGAAGCAUUAAGCGCCUACUGUGUGCCCGAGGGAACGGGUCCCAAGAAAGCCCUUGGAUGGAGGGCUGGACGGGGCCCCAGAGCCCUGCCGCUCCCACCCCCACGUUUUACCGAGGAGGAACGCUCGGGGCUGAUUUGCCCAAGGUCACAUUGUGACCCCACAGUGCCGAGAUCCCUCCUCCCCGCCCCCUUCGAACUGCACCAAGACUUUGGGGACACCCAUUACGGGGCAGGGGAGGGGGAGAGCCCCCCACGGGGAAUCCGGCUCUGGCCCAGCUGCUGAUCCGGGGCAGCCCUGAGGGCCCGGGGAAAGAGGGAUCUCCCGACCCAGGGGAUGGACUCCAGACCCGCACCCACUGGACAUGGAAAAUGAGAAGGAAUGACAAACCGUUCAGGAUCUUUGCCCAGAAAACCCCAAAUGGGGUCCUGAAGAGUCAGGACUGAAUAUGACCACCUGUAUGAAGGGGUAGGUUGGGAGUGCCUUCUUAUAUAUCUCUCCAUCUGAAUCCCACUUGAAAUGCUUGUUAAUUGAAAAAAAAAAUUGAUUAAAAAAAUAAUGGCUUUGGAA
Molecule: long non-coding RNA, 612 nt
Organism: Antechinus flavipes (yellow-footed antechinus)
Lineage: Eukaryota; Metazoa; Chordata; Mammalia; Dasyuromorphia; Dasyuridae
Exons: 2
Source: RefSeq, a predicted model, not a curated record